AUGCGAUUUGGUUUCCUUCUGCAGCCUGGGUUUUAACUUUUCAACAGUUCCAAGAUCCAAAUUUUUUGUUUUCAAUCUUUCAUCUUUGUUAUGAUUUAGUAAAUUGUCAUUCUUUUCCAUUACUAAAAGAUUUUCUUCUGCUGAUAAGUGAUAAGAUUGUGAGUUUGUGAUGAUGUGAGAGGUUUAUUACCAACUGAUGUAUGAAUAUGGCCGAAGAACAUAUUAGAUUAGUACUUAUUUAUCCAUUGUUUUCUUCUGCAGCAUUGAUUGUAAUUAGUAAUUAUUAUAUUAUCUAAAGAAAUUAAUUCAUAUGGUGGUUUCAAAUAUAAAAUGCAAGAAGUUGUUCUCACUUGGUUUCCAUAAUGAGAAGUUGUGCUUCAGUGUUGUUGUCUUAUUUAUGUUUUAUGAUUUCUUGAUAUCUAAGCUACAAAGUUAUUAAAACCAAAGUUCACAAAUCAAUAGAGAUGGGUCCUGUUAUACUUCUUUAUGUAUGUAGAAUGCAGCUUCCUUCUGAAGCUUAAAUUGUUUUUCUGAUAUUUCCAUUUGCUUUAUUGUGCAGACCACAAUAAAGUUCCUUGGUUUGCUGAGUUCUCCUUUGGUUUGAUCAAAGGCUGUGGUUUUGGUGGAUUUCGACAGAGUGAGGAUUGCAGGCUUUGUUUGUGCUACAGUUUCAACUCUGGGCAAUUGAUUGCAAUACCUUCAAGGUUAGAGCUGCUGAGCUUCGGCAAAUACUAGUAGAACUUGGACCGGCGUAUAUCAAAAUCGCUCAGGCUAUUUCGUCUCGACCUAAAGAAAAUUUCAGUCGAUCCUCGCCG
Molecule: long non-coding RNA, 815 nt
Organism: Rosa rugosa (rugosa rose)
Lineage: Eukaryota; Viridiplantae; Streptophyta; Magnoliopsida; Rosales; Rosaceae
Exons: 5
Source: RefSeq, a predicted model, not a curated record